Molecule: ribosomal RNA, 462 nt
Filed under: uncultured bacterium
Lineage: Bacteria
Description: partial 16S ribosomal RNA
Rfam family: Bacterial small subunit ribosomal RNA
Source: RNAcentral
GACGAACGCUGGCGGCGUGCUUAACACAUGCAAGUCGAACGGUGAAGCCCUUCGGGGUGGAUCAGUGGCGAACGGGUGAGUAACACGUGAGCAACCUGCCCCUGGCUCUGGGACAACCACUGGAAACGGUGGCUAAUACCGGAUACGACCCGCCUCGGCAUCGAGUGUGGGUGGAACGUUUUUCGGCUGGGGAUGGGCUCGCGGGCUAUGAGCUUGUUUGUGAGGUGAAGGCACCCCAAGGCGCCGACGGGUAGCCGGCCUGUGAGGGCGACCGGCCACACUGGGACUGAGACACGGCCCAGACUCCUACGGGAGGCAGCAGUGGGGAAUAUUGCACAAUGGGCGAAAGCCUGAUGCAGCGACGCCGCGUGAGGGAUGACGGCCUUCGGGUUGUAAACCUCUUUCAGCUCCGAAGAAGCGAAAGUGACGGUAGGAGCAGAAGAAGCACCGGCUAACUACGUG